RNAcentral lists this long non-coding RNA (4368 nucleotides) under Brassica napus (rape). RNAcentral's name for it is "long non-coding RNA (BNAP_LNC021806)". The record is from RNAcentral. Lineage: Eukaryota; Viridiplantae; Streptophyta; Magnoliopsida; Brassicales; Brassicaceae.
CUGCUCUCACACCACUCUUGCCUGUUUAAACAUCCGUGCUCACUCCAUCCUUUCCCAUUCAAAAUCUUUCCACCUCUUCCAACAAGUUCCUUCAAAAUCCCUGAACCAGAAAUGUCUAAUCCGGGCAUAUCUAAAACAGGUCUUUUUGAUAUAUGCCCACAAUACGAACACAUGAAUUUUCCACCACCUGGAUUCUGGUCCCUAUAAGGCGCAGAGCAGUUACGGCAACGCCUAGUCGCAUUUUUCUUCAGCUUCUGUAGUUGAAUAGCUUCUAAUCUCGCUCUCUCCCUAAGCCUAGCAUUUCUCCUCACACGCCAAGUGGAAAGCUGAGGCAUCAAAACCUCGUACCAGAAGAGAGUAACCAAAAGCACAAACACACAAGCAAGCCUGGGAGAAGUAAUCUCGAAACGAAAAGCAGGUGGAAGAAGCUGAGAGAGAGCCCACAGUCCAAUCAAAGGUAUAACAAACCAAGGCAGCAUCGUUGCAACCUGGCGAGACCACUUUUGAAUAACGCACAAUAUACACAUUAUCCUCUCAAAGCCGGGCGGCCCCCUUCUGAGAAAACCCCUAGACAGGAAUCACAAACCCUAAUCUUAUUAUGAGGUCGUAGUCAAGAUGAUAGCGCCUUGGAGAAUCAACAAGAUACCUAACGCAAACGACGACAAUGGAAUCAAUUAGAAAGACCGCCGAGCACGCAAAUGGAAUUUGAUUAGGUUAAACGCAUGUACGGAGCGAAACCAUUGUGAAUCAAUCGAGAGAGGUAAGGAGACUUACCGAUAGGAAGGCCAUUGAAGCAAAACGUCGGCAGAAGAAAUAAAGAAAGAGAGCUUCGAAAUUGGGGAUGAUGAUGAUGUCGAAGUUCGAAUACAACCUUCACGAUUCCGAUUGAAUUCGUGUUGAAUUACUUCGUUCGAUUUUUGCCAGCGACGAAACCCUAAAUGAGAAAAAAGAUUUGAGAAGAAGAAGAAGAAAAGGAAAAUAAAUGAUAAAAGAGGGCACAAAUGUGAAAUAUGGAACGAACCGGGUGGGUAUUCGGGUCAGGGUUGGGCCCCACAUAGAGUAGCGCAGUAGUAAAUGAAUUUUACCUUUUACCAAAUUGCUCCAUUGAUUUUUUUCUUUCAUCAACAUCAUUUAUUAAACAGAUCAGAUUUCGGAUAUCAUAUUUUCAUCAUAAACCGGUAAAUUUAUGUUUCAGAAUAUAAAUGGCUAAAUAAAUGACAUGAUAUCCCUUAUCUAUUCUGUAAACAUAGUAACAUAUUGUUACUGAAUUCAAAUAAAUGACAAGAUUUCAUUAUGGUAUCUAAGAUUGCUUGGACUCUUUUAUUACGUUUGGUUUGUUUCAUCAAUACAAUAACUAUCAUUGCAGCAAUCUCCAAAGGAUCCAAAUUAGUGAUCUCAGUAAAACGUACAGUAGUUUUCUAUAUAUGGUGUUUUGGCCUUUUCAUAUUUAAAUUACGAUCACUAUCACAGAAAGAUGUAAAUGUAAUUUCAACUCACAAUUCACAGUUUUCACACUCAUUUGAUCGAAUGAUUCAAGUCACUUCAUUACCAAGCUCAUAUUAGGGCCUCCAACCCAUCGAGAUAGAGAGGAACACGCUUUCUAAGUUGCGCCAUAACCAGUCAAGAAAAAAGAUUACAGUAUAUAGAUUUGGUUUCCUUUAUAAGGUUAUGUCGCACGAGUAGAUUUGGUAGGAACAUGUUCAGACACCAACCAAAGCAAGUUAAGUGAGAGACUUUAUCAGAGUAAAGAGUACCUGACUAUAGUUAUGCGUCGAGUGUUCAGUGGAGCUGUGUUUUCAAGCUAAAAAAACUCAAAAGUCUCCAUCAGAGACUCGAGUGGCAAACAUAGACAGAUACAGACAGACCAAGUGCGAUUAUCUGCAAAAACUCUCCUCAUUUUUUUUCUUUUUGAAUUUGCGACUACCAAACCGAUUGCACAUCUUCUUGGUGGUUCUCAACUUCACCUGCCGCCACAAAUUGCUUCCCGGUCCCAUCCUUUAAGCCCUUCACCUUCCUGCACAAUCACAAAUUGCACUAUAUGAUUCCACUCUUCAUCGCAUUUUUUAAGAUUAGGCUGCUUAAAUUUUGGUGUGAGAUUCACAUCUUAUCGUCUUGUGAUCUCAGAAUAGUACAGAAACAAAAUGUUUUCAAUCGUACAAGACUUACUUGAGCCAGUGAUUCGGAGAAGGGUGUUCAAAGGGAUUGUUCUGAGCAGAUCCAGUUGGACUCCUGUUGUUCAAGAGAGUGCUUUCUGUUUGUGUGCUACAAGAAAAAGGACUCUCUGUGCCAGAUAAUGCAGGGAAGAACAUAUUCUGUGACCAAGGAUCAUGGUUGUUUGUAAUGGGGCUGAAUACGCUGUUUUGGUGAUCACUUUCAGGGCUGUCCCUAUGUGAAUAAGCAUCCUCUUUUGCAAAUAAGGAGGAUGCUAUAUGAUGACUUUCCUCGGUAGAUCUAGUUGUCUCUGAAGGUAUAAUCCAGUUUGCUGACCCACUAACUAAACCAAGACUGUUUUGGCCAAGUGGGCUCUUCCACAUUUGCCAGCUUCCGUCAUUAGCUUGUUUUUCAUCAGCAGCCCGUGAUUUGGACAAAGGAGAUUCAAUUGGGGAUGGCUUGCUGAUUUCACGAGUAGGUGUAUUCUUCAUUGAAUGGGGUUUUCCUAUCCCAGUUUCAUACCCAGCCCUUAAAUCAAGUGAUUCUGAAACAGGUCCCAGCAGAGAUAUCGGAUCUGGAACAUAACACGGAUCUUCAAAAUGUUCAUCUUCACCAGGUUGAGGGAGAACAAUCUCUGUUGGAGGUGAGAAACCUAUACUACAGGUAGUGGAUCCACUAGAGUAUACCGGUAUGGUAAAUGGCGAUGGGAGGCCAAAACUGAUGGGAUUGUCAAAGGUACGUAUUGAGGAAACUUGACUGGAAAUUUGUGAGCUCUGAGCUGCUUCCUGGGGCUUUGUACUAGGUCUACUUAUAGUACUAACAUUCGGGGAAACAGGAACAGAUGUUGAACGGGCAAACAGUUGGUGCCAUGCUUUUCGAGGUUCUCUUGUCGGCUUUGGCUCAGAAACAACCUGUGGAAAGAGCAUCGCAUAUUGAGUUAUAAUUGGGAAAAAAAUGGAAGUAAACUAAUUCACAUUUCACUUGACAUUUUACAAUACGAAUGUAAAUUUUGAAAUCAUAUGAAGCAGAAAACAGACAAGUUAACUAAAAAACACACGAGUUUACUCAUAGCCAUAGUCCAAAAAGAUAUGUGAAAAUUUGGAAGGACACUUACUGCGUGAUUAGCAUUCGUAUGAGAAUUAGUAUGAGCAGAGGUAUGUGAAUUAUCUGUAGAACCGAUGGGUUUGGUUUCUUUUGCAAUAGUAGCAGAAGUGAUAACGCCUCUCCCAAAUAAACGGCUAUCACUGAAAGCCUUAGAAGAGGAUAAAAAUGUCCCCUUCACUCGAUCAAAGUACCUACCGCCAGAUUUUGUACCGUUACUAGUGGCAGUAUUCUCUAUACCAUGGUCAUGUCUCCUUUCCAUGUUGGAGCCCCUAUCAUGUUCCAGAUGAUCAUCCUUAUCAACAUUGCGCUUAUGAUCGAUUUCCUUUCCUGUUCUCUUGUUAUGCUCUUCACCAUCAGAACUGCUCUUACUUGAGGCUUUAUCCCUUUCUUUCCUUCUCUCCUGACGCUUCUUCUCCGCCUCUCUGACGAUUUUCUCCUUCGCAGCUAGUAAUACUUUGCUGCAUUUCUCGGCCUCAAUCUUUUCAUCUCUCAGCUUUCUCCGUUCUUCCACUAGUCUUGCGACUUCUUCUCUUUGUUUUCUCUCUUCCUCCUCUGAAAGCUCCUUCUCCAAUCUAGCUUGUCUUUUCUCCUCUGCCUUUCUACGUGCCUUUUCUACCCUACUCUCAUGAUAGGUGUUCCCGUUCUCACCCUGUUUAGCCAGUAACCGUCUCUGCUCUGGGCCAAGCGACGAAUCAUCAACUGAGCUAAACCUAAAAAUCUUUCUCCAAAGCCAACUAAUGCUCAUGAAAAGAGAAGACAGCAACCUGCAAGCAAAACCAACACCACCAGGAUAAGAUUUCUCCACCAAACAAUUUUCAUCUCCAUCAAAUGUACUCAACGUGCUGCCCUCACACCACUCUUGCCUGUUUAAACAUCCGUGCUCACUCCAUCCUUUCCCAUUCAAAAUCUUUCCACCUCUUCCAACAAGUUCCUUCAAAAUCCCUGAACCAGAAAUGUCUAAUCCGGGCAUAUCUAAAACAGGUCUUUUUGAUAUAUGCCCACAAUACGAACACAUGAAUUUUCCACCACCUGGAUUCUGGUCCCUAUAAGGCGUAGAGCAGUUACGGCAACGCCUAGUCGCAUUUUUCUUUAGCUUCUGUAGUUGAAUAGCUU